CUCGUAGGCGGUUUGUCGCGUCGGAAGUGAAAAACACGGGGCUUAACUCUGUGCUGGCUUUCGAUACGGGCAGACUAGAGGGAUGCAGGGGAGAACGGAAUUCCUGGUGUAGCGGUGAAAUGCGCAGAUAUCAGGAGGAACACCGGUGGCGAAGGCGGUUCUCUGGGCAUUCCCUGACGCUGAGGAGCGAAAGUGUGGGGAGCGAACA
This 208-nucleotide ribosomal RNA is filed under the name uncultured bacterium. RNAcentral's name for it is "partial 16S ribosomal RNA". It matches the Rfam family "Bacterial small subunit ribosomal RNA", at positions 568 to 774 of the family's 1533-position model. The record is from RNAcentral.